RNAcentral lists this ribosomal RNA (253 nucleotides) under uncultured bacterium. RNAcentral's name for it is "partial 16S ribosomal RNA". It matches the Rfam family "Bacterial small subunit ribosomal RNA", at positions 524 to 776 of the family's 1533-position model. The record is from RNAcentral.
UACAGAGGGGGCAAGCGUUGUUCGGAAUUACUGGGCGUAAAGGGCGCGUAGGCGGCCUGCUAAGUCGAACGUGAAAUCCCCGGGCUCAACCCGGGAACUGCGUCCGAUACUGGUAGGCUUGAAUUCGGGAGAGGGAUGCGGAAUUCCAGGUGUAGCGGUGAAAUGCGUAGAUAUCUGGAGGAAUACCGGUGGCGAAGGCGGCAGCCUGGACCGAGACUGACACUGAUGAGCGAAAGCCAGGGGAGCAAACGGG